GAGUUUGAUCCUGGCUCAGAUUGAACGCUGGCGGCAUGCCUUACACAUGCAAGUCGAACGGCAGCACGGGAGCUUGCUCCUGGUGGGCGAGUGGCGAACGGGUGAGUAAUGCAUCGGAACGUAUCCUGGAGUGGGGGAUAACGUAGCGAAAGUUACGCUAAUACCGCAUAUUCUGUGAGCAGGAAAGCGGGGGACCUUCGGGCCUCGCGCUCUUGGAGCGGCCGAUGUCGGAUUAGCUAGUUGGUGAGGUAAAGGCUCACCAAGGCGACGAUCCGUAGCAGGUCUGAGAGGAUGAUCUGCCACACUGGAACUGAGACACGGUCCAGACUCCCACGGGAGGCAGCAGUGGGAAUUUUGGACAAUGGGGGCAACCCUGAUCCAGCCAUGCCGCGUGAGUGAAGAA
This 403-nucleotide ribosomal RNA is filed under the name bacterium enrichment culture clone ALO1_GLFRUDD03FX7JX. RNAcentral's name for it is "bacterial SSU rRNA". It matches the Rfam family "Bacterial small subunit ribosomal RNA", at positions 9 to 412 of the family's 1533-position model. The record is from RNAcentral.